RNAcentral lists this ribosomal RNA (254 nucleotides) under uncultured bacterium. RNAcentral describes it as "partial 16S ribosomal RNA". It matches the Rfam family "Bacterial small subunit ribosomal RNA", at positions 524 to 776 of the family's 1533-position model. The record is from RNAcentral.
UACAGGGGGGUGCAAACGUUGCUCGGAAUCAUUGGGCGUAAAGCGCACGUAGGCGGUCUGUUAUGUCGGAUGUGAAAGCCCUUGGCUUAACUGAGGAAGUGCAUCCGAAACUGGCAGGCUAGAGUACUAAAGAGGGUCGCGGAAUUCCCGGUGUAGAGGUGAAAUUCGUAGAUAUCGGGAGGAACACCGGUGGCGAAGGCGGCGACCUGGGUAGAUACUGACGCUGAGGUGCGAAAGCGUGGGGAGCGAACAGG